Molecule: ribosomal RNA, 502 nt
Filed under: Vermamoeba vermiformis
Lineage: Eukaryota; Tubulinea; Echinamoebida; Vermamoebidae
Description: SSU rRNA
Rfam family: Eukaryotic small subunit ribosomal RNA
Source: RNAcentral
UUACGAGGUCAGGACACUGUGAGGAUUGACAGAUUGAAAGCUCUUUCUUGAUUCAGUGGGUGGUGGUGCAUGGCCGUUCUUAGUUGGUGGAGUGAUUUGUCUGGUUAAUUCCGUUAACGAACGAGACCUUAACCUGCUAAAUAGUCACGCGAACCGGUCCGCAAGGGCUCAAAGUUCGCGGCUCGACUUCUUAGAGGGACUAUUCGCACCCGCCAGCGAAUGGAAGUUUGAGGCAAUAACAGGUCUGUGAUGCCCUUAGAUGUUCUCGGCCGCACGCGCGUUACACUGACGGAGUCAACGAGCGUUUUUCCUUGCCCGAUAGGGCCGGGUAACCUCCUGAAACUCCGUCGUGAUGGGGAUAGAUCAUUGCAAUUAUUGAUCUUGAACGAGGAAUUCCUAGUAAGCGCGAGUCAUCAACUCGCGCUGAUUACGUCCCUGCCCUUUGUACGCACCGCCCGUCGCUCCUACCGAUUGAACGGUCCGGCGAGAACUCCGGAUGGUC